Small nucleolar RNA from Junco hyemalis (dark-eyed junco), 133 nucleotides. Lineage: Eukaryota; Metazoa; Chordata; Aves; Passeriformes; Passerellidae. The record is from Ensembl.
UAGCACUGCUCACUGACCAGCUGGUCUUUCCCUGAUGACCUCCUUGGUCUCACUCCAGUGCAAGAUCAAUUCCUUCUAGCAGAAGGGCCAGGCUCACGUCAUGGUCUGUCCCUUUCGAAAGCUGGAUACAAAC